Molecule: ribosomal RNA, 372 nt
Filed under: uncultured Spirochaeta sp.
Lineage: Bacteria; Pseudomonadati; Spirochaetota; Spirochaetia; Spirochaetales; Spirochaetaceae
Description: bacterial SSU rRNA
Rfam family: Bacterial small subunit ribosomal RNA
Source: RNAcentral
GCGUGCCGCUGUCGGCCGGCGCACAGGUGCUGCAUGGCUGUCGUCAGCUCGGUGCUGUGAAGUGUUGGGUUAAGUCCCGCAACCGAGCGCAACCCCUGCUGCCUGUUGCCACCACGAGAGGUGGGGACUCAGGCGGGACCGCCGGUGACAAACCGGAGGAAGGUGGGGACGACGUCAAGUCAUCAUGGCCCUUAUGUCCUGGGCUACACACGUGCUACAAUGGCCGGUACAGAGCGCAGCGAGGCCGCGAGGCGGAGCGAAUCGCUUAAAGCCGGUCCCAGUACGGAUUGGAGUCUGCAACCCGACUCCAUGAAGUUGGAAUCGCUAGUAAUCGCGCAUCAGCAUGGCGCGGUGAAUACGUUCCCGGGCCUU